This 45-nucleotide non-coding RNA is filed under the name Trichobilharzia regenti. The record is from RNAcentral. Lineage: Eukaryota; Metazoa; Platyhelminthes; Trematoda; Strigeidida; Schistosomatidae.
AUUUCAUUGACGAGUCCCAAAUAGGACGAAAUGCGCAUCCUGGAU